UAGGUAUUACGCCAACUCGGCGGCCGAACCUGGAUAAAAAGCUUGUCCGUGUCCUGCGUCACCAUCGAGUUCGUAGUUUGCGCACCGUCUACCGAUAAACUACUACCGUGGGUAUACCCCAAGGUAGACUGCCGACCAGCUUUCGUCGACAGUGGCGCGCCAGGUAGGGGGUGUGCGUGCAACUUUUCCGACGAACAAGAUGGCCAUCAUCCCCGACUUCGCGGCCAUGGUGGGCGGCUUCACGUUCACCGUCAGCUUCAACAGCUUCACCACCACGACCGCGAAGGAGGCGUAGAUCCAAUCUGUGCCGAUCACUUCUUCACCGACGUCGGCUGCAGCUCCAACCACGCUGGCUACGACUUCGACCACACCAGCAACGUUUCCGACCACGCCGACAACGCGUCGCACGCUUCCCUGCUACAAAGGGAGGCAGAUCGACAACACCGACCUGCUCGGGCCAUCGACCGAAUUGUUUGGCCUACUUGCUUUGACCACCAGUCGCAAUAAUAAUCGCCGCGAAGAACGACGCUAUGACAACAGCGACCACCGUCAUGACAAGUCGAAAAGCUCGAGGGCCGGACAAUUUUGUCGUCACCGACUAGACUUUCUUUCAAAGAUAAGUACACUUCUAAUAUUUUAUUUAUUUUUGGCAUAAUAUUUUUAAGAUUAUUAUUCUUCAAAACAACUUUUUUUUAGCCGACUAGUUUUUUCUCCUACACGAGCUUUCCAGAGCCGGUAUUGUCUCCGACUCCUCCCUACACGUGCACGAGAUCCGCCCUCUGCGUUCCGGGUGGUCGGCAGUACUCUCUGACGUGGCUGACAAUCCUACGCAUGCCUAGGUUCCGCACCUCAUGCUGAUUGUUGGCUAGACCAGAGCUGGUACAAGCUCUAGGAUGAAUUAACUACUUGUGCUAAUUUUAUAACAAAAAAUCUAAAACUUAUCUCAGUACUGAUUUUUAUCUAAAGUUUAUUUAUACAUCAUGUACUACCUAUUCUUUAUAUUUAUUUUUCAGGGGUUUGGCCCAGUCGACAAGCUACGCUCGGGGACUCGUCGACUAUUCCCUACGCUGUGCCCGGGGACUGCUCCGACCACCGAGCACGUUUACGUUCCCAACCACGCUCGGGGACUUGUCGACUACUCUCUAUGCUAUGCUCGAAGACUGUGCCGACCACCGAGCACGUUUACG
Molecule: long non-coding RNA, 1187 nt
Filed under: Sorghum bicolor (sorghum)
Lineage: Eukaryota; Viridiplantae; Streptophyta; Magnoliopsida; Poales; Poaceae
Description: long non-coding RNA (SBIC_LNC004940)
Source: RNAcentral